CUGCACUGACGAGUCCCAAACAGGACGAAACAGCUGUCCAGUAC
Molecule: non-coding RNA, 44 nt
Organism: Echinostoma caproni
Lineage: Eukaryota; Metazoa; Platyhelminthes; Trematoda; Plagiorchiida; Echinostomatidae
Source: Rfam